Molecule: ribosomal RNA, 492 nt
Filed under: uncultured bacterium
Lineage: Bacteria
Description: partial 16S ribosomal RNA
Rfam family: Bacterial small subunit ribosomal RNA
Source: RNAcentral
AGUGAACGCUGGCGGUAGGCCUAACACAUGCAAGUCGAACGGCAGCACAGUAAGAGCUUGCUCUUUCGGGUGGCGAGUGGCGGACGGGUGAGGAAUACAUCGGAAUCUACUUUUUCGUGGGGGAUAACGUAGGGAAACUUACGCUAAUACCGCAUACGACCUACGGGUGAAAGCAGGGGAUCUUCGGACCUUGCGCGAUUGAAUGAGCCGAUGUCGGAUUAGCUAGUUGGCGGGGUAAAGGCCCACCAAGGCGACGAUCCGUAGCUGGUCUGAGAGGAUGAUCAGCCACACUGGAACUGAGACACGGUCCAGACUCCUACGGGAGGCAGCAGUGGGGAAUAUUGGACAAUGGGCGCAAGCCUGAUCCAGCCAUACCGCGUGGGUGAAGAAGGCCUUCGGGUUGUAAAGCCCUUUUGUUGGGAAAGAAAAGCAGCAGGUUAAUACCCCGCUGUUCUGGCGGUACCCAAAGAAUAAGCACCGGCUAACUUCGUG